Molecule: long non-coding RNA, 7163 nt
Filed under: Stegodyphus dumicola
Lineage: Eukaryota; Metazoa; Arthropoda; Arachnida; Araneae; Eresidae
Description: uncharacterized LOC118195308
Source: RNAcentral
GGUUUUCUCUUUUCCGAAAGAGAAAGAAUUCUUAAAUAAAUGGAUAAAGGCGAUUCAUAGAAGUAAUUUCAAGCCAACAAAAUUUUCGAAGGUUUGUGCCCUUCAUUUUCACCCUGAGGACAUUUCAAAAUGUAAAGAAUUCGUUGAUGAAAGGACUGGAAGGAAGGUGACUGCUCCCUUAUCGAGAGGUAUCCAGUUCGCUUGUGCAGUUGCUCCUGGAAAAUGAUGCUCUGCAACAAGAGAGUGAUGCUCGAAAUGUAGCCAUUGAACAGCUUCUGAAGAUGACUGUGAAGAUCACUGAAAAUGAACUUCGACCCAUUCAGAUGUCAGUUGUUUUACCCACUGAUGAUUGUGAUGAUGAAGUAUAAAAACUUUUUCAACCCCAAAAGGAGAGCUUUAACCUGACUUCUUGAUGAACAAAAUGUACUCAUAUGUAUGUCUCGAAGUUUAUUGCAGCUAAGGUUGCAUGAUUUUUAUUUACUGCAUUUAAGAGUUAUUUAUUUUUACAUAUUUAUGGGACUGUUUUAAUAUAUAUUUUGUAUAUAUAUAUAUCUACAUAUAUGUAGUUGUGUGUAUUAAGAUUUAUAAAUUCUCUGACUGCUUAUGAUUGGAUUUCCAUUUAGAAUCUGCUGGCACUGAUUCUGACUGCUUGAUUUUUGCAUGUCCCAUUUUUUUCUCUUUCAGGUAACGAAAAAGUCUUACAUGCUUUAUUACCUGUUUCAAAUAUUAUUUUACUUAGCAAAUGGCAGCAGUGAUUCACUACCUUCUUUUUAUUUAUUUAUAUUUUUUAAGAGGUAUAAAAAUAUUUUAUUUUUUUUCUAGUUUGCUGUUUUACUAGUUUUCUGAUCUAAUCUGUUAUUAUUCUUCUGAUUAUAUGUAUAUUGAUCUAAAUUUUUCAUCUAAAAAACAGUAAGAUAUGUAUUUUUUAAAAUGUGUUAUUUUAUUAAGUACUUUACUGUCCCAAACACAAGAAAGCUUCAGGUAUUUGAUAUGCAUUUUAAUGUGCAUUUUUAUAUAAAAAAAGACCUGCUCAUAUGUACUAUUUAAUACAUUAUUUUUCCAACAGGUAGCAACACGGGUCAAAUGCCUAAUUUUAGUAUAAAAGAGCAUAAGAAUUUUUAAUGAAGUUUUCUGAUCUGAAUUUUUAUUAUGAAUUUUUUUUAUUAUUAUUCUUUUAGUAGUCUGAUCUAUUUUUUUUUUAAAUACAGAACUGAGAAAAUAUUAAAAGAACUUUUUUGGGAGUAUUAAGAUAGCUUUAUAAGUAAGAUUAAUCCAUAUUAUUUAAUGUUUAAAGAAAAAAAAAAAAAAAAAAAAAAGAGGGGAAAAUUGUAGUUAUAUAAAAUGUGAAUUUGAUAUAUUGUUGUUACUCUACAAGAAAUGUAGUUAAAUGGCAUUGAAACUAAGUUAGUAUUUCCAUUUAAUGCAAAAGUAGGGGCAUAAGCUAUAUUAAUAUUUUUUUUAAUGUUUACAAGAUGAGUAUAUUUUCAGAAAUCCAUUUUGUGGGGAGAAAAGUGUGAUAUUCAGAUGAAUACAUUACAUUGUAAUUUAUGCUAUGCAUUUAAUUUGCUGAUAUAAUCUAAAAAAACAUUUUGCUAUUGACAUGCACCGUUACCCUUUUAAUUUUAUGUGUAUAAUAUUCUAUAAUUAUUGAAUAUGAUAGCAUAAGUUUCAAUAUCAGAACAUAAUGCAAGUAAUAAGUAUAAUUUAUUUUACAGCAAUAUUAGUUUUCAAAUCCUAGCAAUCAGAGGUUUAAUUGAUAUUUCAAUUGCAAGUUCAGCUACUAUAUUAUGUACUUAAAUAAUUAAAUAUUUCAUUUUAUAUUUUUACUAGUCUUUUAUAAGCUGUGUUUCAGUAUUAACAAUGCAUGCAGCUACCACAUAAAUUUUGAAAUGCAAAUACAUGUUGUUGCAUUUAAUUGACUCAAUAUUUUUGUAAAAUAUUGUUUUAGCUUUAUUUUGAGUUGUUAUGCAUUGUUCAAGAAAGUCUUCAUUGAUUAUUAAAAUUGUUUCAUUUUUUUCAUUUUAGAAAGAUUGGUUAUUGCAGUGUGUUUAUUGUCCUUAAUAAUACUGGCAUAAUGAAAUGUAAAUUUACUAAACAGACACUUCUUGACUUAUGUAAAAUUUACCUCCUUUGAAUCUUAUGCUAGUCAGUUUGUACACAAGCAGAAAUUUCUCUAAAUAUUUGUCUAAUACUUUGUUUAUUAAAAUGUCAGUAAUCUUCUCUAAAAUAUGUCCAAAUAUUAUAAAUUUAAAUAUUUAAUGCUGCUUGAUAAAUUUUACAAAGUUUAUUGUAUUCUCAAAUUUAUUUUAUAAUUAUGCUUAAUAAUAUUGUAUCCUACUUACAGAUCUAUUUUAUUCUUAGGAUGGUAUUAGUUCAAGCAUAAAUAAUAUCUUUAAUUCAAUUUAUUCAAUUCCCUCUUGCUGAUAUGUCCUUAAUUCUUUUUCAUUAAUGGUCCUUAAGAGUACUUAAUUUUCACGUGCAGAAAUGUGUACGAACCCUGUACCAUCUGUUGAGGAAAAUAGUAAUAAAAUGAGAAAAAGCUAAAGUAUUAGCAUUUUUAAAGCAUCUGAUAGAAUUGGAUUGGAAUGAAUGUCACUGGUGAAGGAAGGUAAAUUUUCAUGAAUAAAAAGCUUCAAAGAAAUCCAUGAGUUGGUGAAAUAAAACUCACAAUUAAAGAGAGAUGACAGUGAAGUGCUAUACAAUUUCCUUUCAAUAACCUAUUCUUAAAUGGCCAGUACUGCCUCCUAGGAGGUUUUUGAUUACCAAAUAGUUCAGAAAAAUGACAUUAUUUAUAUACAUUCAUACAGCUAUAUAAGAUGGCACCGUAUUUGUAGUGUAUUUUGAUUCAUGUCGCAUGAUGGAUGUCAUGCAUGAGCUGUAUCAGACAAUGCAACAUUUUUUAUUAGUUAACUGCUAUUGUGUUCACCUUCUUUUCAAUACAGAGAACUGGAUCACUGAGCAUUAGGCUUUUGUUCUUGGUGGUUAUAUCAAGAAUUCCAACUCUAUAAUUUUUCAUGGGGAUACCUCAAAUAAAAAGUUAUCUAAACACAUUAUGCCACAUUAUUAGAAUUGAAAGACCAAACCCGGCCUGUUAUUUCUGGAGCAUGAAUCUCCAGAUUUUAAGCAAACCUCAAAAUUAUCUUGUUUUUUGUGUCUGUAUGUUUUAUUCAUGAAAAGUAGGAUUAGUAUUGCAUAAAUCAAGGCAAAGCACUUCAGGAUUAUAUGUCUAAGAGGAGGGAUGCUUUCAUGAAAGACCUUUUUAAAGGAAAUAAACUCAUAUUUAUGUUAUAUAUGGGAGGAAAAUCAUGAAAACUCCAAUGCAGCCUGUCUGUGUUCUGAGGUUUGAACUUGGGUCAGAUUAUCAGUGUUCAGCAGUUUUUAUCACUUGGAUGCUUGUAGGAAUAAAAAUUAAGAAAAUGAGUAUUUGGGGCCUCUGAAACUAUGUGAUACAUUGGCCCUAAAACUGGCUUAAUUGGGCUCUUUUGAGUGCAUUAGUGUCACCAUUAUUCCUGGUGAUAUGUUAUGUGUUAUGAUAUGUAAUUGACUUCAUUGCUUCAACGAAUGUGUGGUGCAGUAAUGGCAGCCAUUUAAUGGAGUGAUAUUCAAAUAUUGAUUAAUAAAUGGCACUUUUAUAACUAUUAUUUGGCACAUAAUUGUAAAACAGUUGUUUGCUGAUAAUGUCAUUCGAUUAAUAUACCAUGAAUAAUAUAUAGAGAGUAUGGAUUGUCAUGUACAUGAAAUUUUUAUUUAGAUGCAUUUAAUUCUUUUUUCUACCUUGUAUGAACAAAAGUAGGUAUUAUAAUCACGAAAAAUCUAAGAUAUCAGAUUUCAAUGAAAAUAUCAAUUGUGACUGUUCCCAAUUCCAUUUGGAUAAUUUUUUCUGUGAUGUAUGAACAAAAUAAAGGAUUCUUUUUCCAAAAUGUAUUUAAAUUGGAUUCAAAAGAGAUUUAUUCAUGAUGUUUAUAUGUACAUAUAUGUGUAUCUCACAUAACUCUAAAAUGGCUAACCAUAGAACUUUUAAAUGGCUACCCAUAGAAUUUUGUUUAUGGGACUGGUAGUUGGGCACCUCCGUUUUUAAUGCAAUCGGCAGCAUCAAAUGCAUGUAUAUAUAAAUUAUAGACCAAAACUAAUAAAUUAAAUUCUGAACUAAUAUCACAAAGACAUGAAAGAAAUUAAUUUAAAAAAAUUCUGUAAUAAACACAUACACCACUCUCUUACCCAGUCUAAAAGUCCAUCCCCAGCCUCUAUUUUCCCAUCUGUUAGUUGCAGUCAUAUACUUUCAAUUGCCAAAGUGUUUUAAAUGAUGAAAAUAUUUAUGUUUUGUCAAUGUCAAAUUAAAAAAAAAAAAAAAAAAAAAAAAAAAAAAUCAACAAAUAGGGAAACCUAACGUUUAAUGCAGUUUCCCGAUUCCUGUACUUUUUUAGUAUGUUUUGUGCUUCUUAUGAAAAAAUAAAAGUACAAGAAGUUUGACUCUUGCGUGACGAAAAUCGACUCGGAAAUCAAUUUCAAAAUUUUUAAUUUUUGAUGUCAUUUUAAACUUGCCUUGAGGGAUCACUUAAUUAAAUUAGAAUAAUCGGACAAAAUAAGUUUAAAUGAAAUGCAGCAAAAAGUAUGUAUAAUUUAAUAAGUCGUACAUUCGCAUCAGUUUUUUUUAAAACAGAAAUAGCAGGUGUACCAGUUCAUAUAUCACUUUGAAGUGAUGGAACUAAUGCUUUAUAUCAACAGUUCCAAAGAGCCUGCACCACUUCCUAGAGAGCAUAUAUUUAGGGCAUGUAAAAGAAUGUUGUCAUUUAGUAAAGUGUAAGACUUUAUAAUUUAAAUUUAAUUAAUCUGUAAUUGCUUAACAAGCUUAGAGAUUUUCCAGAUCAAUGAAUGUGUUUCUAAAUAAUUUUAAUAUUUGUUUUGUUUUUUAAUUGUUAUAAAUUAAAAUGCACAGUACCUGCAGGUAAAUUUUAGAAUAUUUGCAAAAUUAUUGUGAUUAAUAAAAGAUAUUUCUGUAUGUGAUAUACCUGAUAAUCAAUGUGUGAUAUACUUGGUUUGAUAUUUUAAUAUGGUAGAUAAUAAUUAUUAUUUUCUUUAUAGCAGCUUGGAGGUUUGUGUUAUGUUGGCUUAUUUUAUUUUAAAAUUAAGUGUAAUAUAAGUCAUGGAGUGGCUGUUAUAAAUUUGAAAUUUUAAUAUGAAUUGCACUUUUUCAUGUAUCAUCAUUUUUAGGUAAACUUGCAACAGUAUUUUGAAAGCUAGUUAUUUUCUCAAUUUCCUUGCAUUUAUUCUUUAAAAUCCAUUGUUUGUAUCUUAUUUGAGAAAAAAAUUGUUAAUUUUUUAAUUCACUUUUGUAUGUAUGUGGUAUGUGUAUGAAAUUUCAAAAUAAUUUUUUUUAUUAUGAAUGUUUGCAGAGCCAUAUAUUUUCCCUUUUGUAAUGUGUUAUUUUCAGUUCUUAGUCAAAACUACAAGAAUUGAAAUAUUUAUAUCAGGUGAACACUUUUGUGUGACCAUAGAUUGAGCAGUGGAGUGUUAAUACUUUUUCAUAUUUAAAAUAUAACUAACUAUAAGCAUUUACCUGUUGAUGUAACAAGAGUGUUUAAGUUUAUUAUUUUUCAGGUUUUAAGUUGUUUAUUUCUAUCUCUGUUUAAACAGAACUGAUUUUUAAAAUAAUUUGUUUCAAGAAAUAAAAUUAGUAAAUAAAUAAAAUAAUAUAAUUAGGUGUUUUGGAACUCUUCUAAAUUAUGUUUCGAAUUUUACAUAAUGCAUCAUUUAUGUCACUUGAGUUUUAACCAGUUUUCAAAAUACGUUUUUUCAUGUGUGUGCGUGCACAUGUGUACAUGUAUGUGUGUUUAUGUAAGAUUAAUAUAGUACCUAUAUAAAAGAAAAAAGUGGGGAUUCUGUGAGGUAUUAUUGCUUUCAGUUUUGAUGAAAUCAUAUCCAUGAGAAUAGACAUUGUUGUUAACUAUAUUAGAUUUUUUUCUUUCUCUUCUAUGUUAUACUGAUGCAUUGCCUCUAUACAUCAUAAGUUAAUCAUUUAAAAAACCAAUUUAUUCAAAUUUCUUAGCAACAUUUUGGAAAGAGUGAUAUUUUAUAGUCAAGUGUCAUAAAUAAAAUAGUUUUCUACCAUCCUGUAAAAUUGAUUGAGUGCAAAAUUUCUAAUGAUAUUUUUUGUAUAUUCAUCCAGAAUUAAACUAUUGUAAUGGAAUUUCAUAGUAAUUUGUUACUUGCAAACUUGUACAUUUUUAAAAAUUUUAUUUGUAUUGUAAUGUAUAUUUUAAAUAUUUUGAUAUUCUUUUAUUUAAAGCAUUUUAUGUUAUGUGAAGAAAUGUUGAAACAAUGCCAAAACUUUUUAAAAGUGAAAUUCUUUUCUAGGGGAGUUUUAAAUUUAUUCAAGAGUUAAAGUUCAUAUAACUAUACUUUAUUCUUAACAAACGAUAAACCUACCUCUUUCUCCUUCCUUUUUUCUUUUUUCUCCUUUUUCCCUCCCAUUUUAAAAUUUUCCUCUUAACUUCAUUCAAAUUUUAAGAUUUAAAUUUCUAUUCCUCAUUUUUUAUUGCAAAUAUAUGUUUUGGAACAUUUUGAAUUCUUGAAUGCUUUGAAUGGAAAACUUAUUAAAAGCAUUGCAGUAAAAUGACCCGUGAAUGAUGCAAUAGCGUUUUAAAUGCUGUACUAAUACAUUUAAUGAAAGAAGAGUGAUGUUUCCAAAAUGAAUGUGCCACAAAACUGUGUAGAAUCAUUUUCCUCUUUGUAGUAUGUGCUGGCAAAUGGUUAAGUUAUGAGGUUGUAAUUGCAUAUAAAAAUGUAAAUAUUCUAUUUUUAAGUGUAGAUCUGGGAUUUACAGUUUUCAUAAAAUAAUUUAGCUAUUAAAAGUGUAUAAAUAUUCUAAAGCUUUAUUUUGCUGUUAACUUUUUCUUAGUUCUAUGAGCACUAUUUUUCUUAGUGGUUGGCCACUAGUGAACAUGCAGUGGCUGAUUAUUGAAUUUGUGUCUUAUGAAAUGCAAACUGCACUUGUGCCUUCGUUUUGUGAGCUGAUUUAAAAUUUAUUGAUUGUUUUACCUCAUGUGUUUUAUCAUGCUAUGCAUCAGAUUGUAAGCUUUUGUUAUUUUGAGACAUUUUACAGUGGUAAGAAUAACUUUUAUCAUCUGGUAAUGAAAUUUAAUUAUUAAACUCAUGGGAAAAUA